GGAAUAUUGGACAAUGGACCAAAAGUCUGAUCCAGCAAUUCUGUGUGCACGAUGACGUUUUUCGGAAUGUAAAGUGCUUUCAGUUGGGAAGAAAAAAAUUACGGUACCAACAGAAGAAGUGACGGCUAAAUACGUCCCAGCAGCCGCGGUAAUACGUAUGUCACAAGCGUUAUCCGGAUUUAUUGGGCGUAAAGCGCGUCUAGGUGGUUAUGUAAGUCUGAUGUGAAAAUGCAGGGCUCAACUCUGUAUUGCGUUGGAAACUGUAUGACUAGAGUACUGGAGAGGUAAGCGGAACUACAAGUGUAGAGGUGAAAUUCGUAGAUAUUUGUAGGAAUGCCGAUGGGGAAGCCAGCUUACUGGACAGAUACUGACGCUAAAGCGCGAAAGCGUGGGUAGCAAAC
RNAcentral lists this ribosomal RNA (401 nucleotides) under uncultured bacterium. RNAcentral describes it as "bacterial SSU rRNA". It matches the Rfam family "Bacterial small subunit ribosomal RNA", at positions 358 to 773 of the family's 1533-position model. The record is from RNAcentral.